UCGAACGGCAGCACGGACUUCGGUCUGAUGGCGAGUGGCGAACGGGUGAGUAACAUAUCGGAACGUAUCCAGUAAUGGGGGAUAACUAAUCGAAAGGUUGGCUAAUACCGCAUACGCCCUACGGGGGAAAGCUAGGGACCUUCGGGCCUGGCGUUAAUGGAGCGGCCGAUAUCUGAUUAGCUAGUUGGUGGGGUAAAAGCCCACCAAGGCGACGAUCAGUAGCUGGUCUGAGAGGACGACCAGCCACACUGGAACUGAGACACGGUCCAGACUCCUACGGGAGGCAGCAGUGGGGAAUUUUGGACAAUGGGCGCAAGCCUGAUCCAGCCAUUCCGCGUGAGUGAAGAAGGCCUUCGGGUUGUAAAGCUCUUUCGCAAGGGAAGAAAACUUAGCCACUAACAUUGGCUGAGGUUGACGGUACCUUGAUAAGAAGCACCGGCUAACUACGUGCCAGCAGCCGCGGUAAUACGUAGGGUGCGAGCGUUAAUCGGAAUUACUGGGCGUAAAGCGUGCGCAGGCGGUUUUGUAAGUCAGAUGUGAAAUCCCCGAGCUCAACUUGGGAACUGCGUUUGAAACUACAAGACUAGAAUAUGUCAGAGGGGGGUAGAAUUCCACGUGUAGCAGUGAAAUGCGUAGAGAUGUGGAGGAAUACCAAUGGCGAAGGCAGCCCCCUGGGAUAAUAUUGACGCUCAUGCACGAAAGCGUGGGGAGCAAACAGGAUUAGAUACCCUGGUA
RNAcentral lists this ribosomal RNA (735 nucleotides) under uncultured bacterium. Its description in RNAcentral is "bacterial SSU rRNA". It matches the Rfam family "Bacterial small subunit ribosomal RNA", at positions 62 to 792 of the family's 1533-position model. The record is from RNAcentral.